GAUUCUUUGGGAAGGUCUGAGACUGAAGAGGCUCGCUACAACCGUCCCUUCAAACCGGGACCAAAUCCUUUCAAGAACAGUAUUCAUUUAUUUCAGAAACCUCACCUUCCCCAAAAGAGAAACAGUCCUGAAGUUGGGGCACCCAAAAGGCGCUUGGCAA
This 160-nucleotide non-coding RNA is filed under the name Protocruzia adhaerens. The record is from RNAcentral. Lineage: Eukaryota; Ciliophora; Spirotrichea.